CCGUCAAUUCCUUUAAGUUUUAACCUUGCGGCCGUACUCCCCAGGCGGUCAACUUCACGCGUUAGCUUCGUUACCAAGGAAUUGCUUCCCCGACAACCAGUUGACAUAGUUUAGGGCGUGGACUACCAGGGUAUCUAAUCCUGUUUGCUCCCCACGCUUUCGUGCAUGAGCGUCAGUGUUAGCCCAGGGGGCUGCCUUCGCCAUCGGUGUUCCUCCAAAUAUCUACGCAUUUCACUGCUACACUUGGAAUUCCACCCCCCUCUGCCACACUCCAGUCUGCCAGUUACAAACGCAGUUCCCAGGUUAAGCCCGGGGAUUUCACAUCUGUCUUAACAAACCGCCUGCGCACGCUUUACGCCCAGUAAUUCCGAUUAACGCCUGCACCCUACGUAUUACCGCG
Molecule: unclassified non-coding RNA, 400 nt
Filed under: uncultured Gammaproteobacteria bacterium
Lineage: Bacteria; Pseudomonadati; Pseudomonadota; Gammaproteobacteria
Description: contains 16S-23S intergenic spacer region
Source: RNAcentral